This 253-nucleotide ribosomal RNA is filed under the name uncultured bacterium. Its description in RNAcentral is "partial 16S ribosomal RNA". It matches the Rfam family "Bacterial small subunit ribosomal RNA", at positions 524 to 776 of the family's 1533-position model. The record is from RNAcentral.
UACAGAGGGGGCGAGCGUUAUUCGGAAUUAUUGGGCGUAAAGGGCGCGUAGGCGGCUUUGCAAGUGACGGGUGAAAUCCCUCGGCUUAACCGAGGAACUGCCUGUCAAACUGCAUGGCUUGAGACCGGGAGAGGUGAGUGGAAUUCCCAGUGUAGCGGUGAAAUGCGUAGAUAUUGGGAGGAACACCAGUGGCGAAGGCGGCUCACUGGACCGGUACUGACGCUGAGGCACGAAGGCCAGGGGAGCAAACGGG